AGACAAGAGGGACAGGGAGGCUUCGCGGAACCCUACGCCCACCCGACGCGUUCGCCCGUCCGUUUUUAUUUUUAUUUUUAUUUUGGUUUUUUUGUUGUUGUUCUCUUCUUUUGUCUUUUUUUUUUCUUUAGAGACGGGGUCUAGCUAUGUUGGCCAGGCUGGUCUCGAGUCCCCGGGCUCAAGCGAUCCUCCCGCCUCAGCCUCCGGAAAAGUGGGACUACAGGCGCGCAUCGCCGCACCCGGCCAAUCCCUGUUUUAA
RNAcentral lists this long non-coding RNA (259 nucleotides) under Homo sapiens (human). Its description in RNAcentral is "non-protein coding lnc-DNASE1L1-2:3". The record is from RNAcentral. Lineage: Eukaryota; Metazoa; Chordata; Mammalia; Primates; Hominidae.